GCCAUAUAAGCAAAUUUCAAAAUUUCCAUAUACUCCAUAGGAUUGUAAACCAUCUGCUUUGUUCAUGAUCAGAAGUCGCACCUACCAUAGUGUCAACAACUAAUUCAACAAUAAAAAAACCAUAGCUAAACCCUGCAAGAUUCCAUACAUCAACAACAUAGCUGCACAUUAAAAACACAUGGUUCAUAUCUUCCAAAAACUAGCAGCGAGGGCAAGGGGUCAACAUUACAACCUUUCUUAAUUAAACAAAGUUGACAUGGUACAAAAUUUUUAAACAACACUUGACAAAAUGUUUAACCAUGGGAGGCCACUUCGAGUUCCAAAUACAACCCCAAGGGCCAUUAUACUCUAGAUUACGAAUGUGGAAAAAAAAAGCAAAAGUGCAAGAACGUACCC
This 396-nucleotide long non-coding RNA is filed under the name Gossypium raimondii (Peruvian cotton). Its description in RNAcentral is "long non-coding RNA (GRAI_LNC002709)". The record is from RNAcentral. Lineage: Eukaryota; Viridiplantae; Streptophyta; Magnoliopsida; Malvales; Malvaceae.